Molecule: long non-coding RNA, 238 nt
Organism: Diceros bicornis minor
Lineage: Eukaryota; Metazoa; Chordata; Mammalia; Perissodactyla; Rhinocerotidae
Exons: 3
Source: RefSeq, a predicted model, not a curated record
UUGUCUGAGGGGCGACGUAGGUCGGUCGAGAGGCCGUCCAGGCUCUGCCCGGCUGCGAGGGAGGUGAAGGCCUUGGUCUGAGCUGGUGACAUCAGCAGAGGGAGGAGUCCCAGGAUCUGUGAGGAGUCAAGAUAAGUGUCUCAGGGAGGUGAAGGCCUUGGUCUGAGUGUGAAGGCAGGUUAGCUGAGGGAGCCACAUCAGGUCAGAAGAGGGUGGAGUCCCAAGCUCUACCAGGUGU